UCCCUAGUGGCUUAGCUGGUAAAGAAUCUGCCUGCAAUGCAGGAGACCUGGAUUAGAUCCCUGGGUUGGGAA
Molecule: transfer RNA, 72 nt
Filed under: Ovis aries (sheep)
Lineage: Eukaryota; Metazoa; Chordata; Mammalia; Artiodactyla; Bovidae
Rfam family: tRNA
About the family: Transfer RNA (tRNA) molecules are approximately 80 nucleotides in length. Their secondary structure includes four short double-helical elements and three loops (D, anti-codon, and T loops).
Source: Rfam by way of RNAcentral